AAGAGGUCGUAUGCCACAGA
This 20-nucleotide unclassified non-coding RNA is filed under the name Mus musculus (house mouse). RNAcentral describes it as "oocyte_clustered_small_RNA9812". Lineage: Eukaryota; Metazoa; Chordata; Mammalia; Rodentia; Muridae. The record is from RNAcentral.